AUACGUAGGUGGCAAGCGUUGUCCGGAUUUACUGGGCGUAAAGGGAGCGUAGGUGGAUAUUUAAGUGGGAUGUGAAAUACUCGGGCUUAACCUGGGUGCUGCAUUCCAAACUGGAUAUCUAGAGUGCAGGAGAGGAAAGGAGAAUUCCUAGUGUAGCGGUGAAAUGCGUAGAGAUUAGGAAGAAUACCAGUGGCGAAGGCGCCUUUCUGGACUGUAACUGACACUGAGGCUCGAAAGCGUGGGGAGCAAACAGGAUUAGAUACCCUGGUAGUCCACGCCGUAAACGAUGAGUACUAGGUGUCGGGGGUUACCCCCCUCGGUGCCGCAGCAAACGCAUUAAGCACUCCGCCUGGGGAGUACGACCGCAAGGUUGGA
This 375-nucleotide ribosomal RNA is filed under the name uncultured bacterium. RNAcentral's name for it is "bacterial SSU rRNA". It matches the Rfam family "Bacterial small subunit ribosomal RNA", at positions 523 to 898 of the family's 1533-position model. The record is from RNAcentral.